GUGGCAGUAGUUUAAUGGCAGAAUACCGGGCUGUGGAUCCGGUGGAGGGGGUUCGAUUCCCCCUUGCCACC
RNAcentral lists this transfer RNA (71 nucleotides) under Candidatus Woesearchaeota archaeon. RNAcentral describes it as "tRNA-His". It matches the Rfam family "tRNA". From Rfam's summary of the family: Transfer RNA (tRNA) molecules are approximately 80 nucleotides in length. Their secondary structure includes four short double-helical elements and three loops (D, anti-codon, and T loops). Further hydrogen bonds mediate the characteristic L-shaped molecular structure. tRNAs have two regions of fundamental functional importance: the anti-codon, which is responsible for specific mRNA codon recognition, and the 3' end, to which the tRNAs corresponding amino acid is attached (by aminoacyl-tRNA synthetases). tRNAs cope with the degeneracy of the genetic code in two manners: having more than one tRNA (with a specific anti-codon) for a particular amino acid; and 'wobble' base-pairing, i.e. permitting non-standard base-pairing at the 3rd anti-codon position. The record is from RNAcentral. Lineage: Archaea; Nanobdellati; Candidatus Woesearchaeota.